CAAGGUUAAUUGGCGUAUCGUUUUACGUUAUUGUUGAGCGAGGAAUAUUUAUGUUACAAUUCCCUGUUCACUCCUGAGAAAUUUAGGGUAAUUCAAUGGCUCGUAUAGCUGGUAUUAACAUUCCUGUG
This is a regulatory RNA element of Methylophaga lonarensis MPL, 128 nucleotides long. It matches the Rfam family "Alpha operon ribosome binding site". From Rfam's summary of the family: The bacterial alpha operon ribosome binding site is surrounded by this complex pseudoknotted structure. Translation of the mRNA produces 4 ribosomal protein products, one of which (S4) acts as a translational repressor by binding to the nested pseudoknot region. The mechanism of repression is thought to involve a conformational switch in the pseudoknot region and ribosome entrapment. The record is from Rfam. NCBI's taxonomy places the organism in Bacteria, Pseudomonadati, Pseudomonadota, Gammaproteobacteria, Thiotrichales, Piscirickettsiaceae.